This is a small nuclear RNA of Pongo abelii (Sumatran orangutan), 107 nucleotides long. NCBI's taxonomy places the organism in Eukaryota, Metazoa, Chordata, Mammalia, Primates, Hominidae. The record is from Ensembl.
AUGCUCGCUUCAGCAGCAUAUAUACUAAAAUUGGAACGAUACAGAGAAGAUUAGCAUGAUCCCUGUGCAAGGAUGACACACAAAUUCAUGAAGCAUUCCAUAUUUUU